GACGAACGCUGGCGGCGUGCUUAACACAUGCAAGUCGAACGGAAAGGCCCUGCUUUUGUGGGGUGCUCGAGUGGCGAACGGGUGAGUAACACGUGAGUAACCUGCCCUUGACUUUGGGAUAACUUCAGGAAACUGGGGCUAAUACCGGAUAGGAGCUCCUGCUGCAUGGUGGGGGUUGGAAAGUUUCGGCGGUUGGGGAUGGACUCGCGGCUUAUCAGCUUGUUGGUGGGGUAGUGGCUUACCAAGGCUUUGACGGGUAGCCGGCCUGAGAGGGUGACCGGCAACAUUGGGACUGAGAUACGGCCCAGACUCCUCCGGGAGGCAGCAGUGGGGAAUAUUGCACAAUGGGCGGAAGCCUGAUGCAGCAACGCCGCGUGCGGGAUGACGGCCUUCGGGUUGUAAACCGCUUUCGCCUGUGACGAAGCGUGAGUGACGGUAAUGGGUAAAGAAGCACGGGCUAACUACGUG
Molecule: ribosomal RNA, 468 nt
Filed under: uncultured bacterium
Lineage: Bacteria
Description: partial 16S ribosomal RNA
Rfam family: Bacterial small subunit ribosomal RNA
Source: RNAcentral